Molecule: transfer RNA, 73 nt
Filed under: Planctomycetaceae bacterium
Lineage: Bacteria; Pseudomonadati; Planctomycetota; Planctomycetia; Planctomycetales; Planctomycetaceae
Description: tRNA-Lys
Rfam family: tRNA
About the family: Transfer RNA (tRNA) molecules are approximately 80 nucleotides in length.
Source: RNAcentral
GAAAGCGUAGCUCAGUUGGUAGAGCAACGGACUUUUAAUCCGUAGGUCGUGGGUUCAAGUCCCACCGCUUUCA